ACGCCGAUGGUGAAAUGGUUAUCACGCUUACCUCCCAUAGUCGGUAGGGGUUCGAUUCCCCUUCGGCGCA
Molecule: transfer RNA, 70 nt
Filed under: Flammulina velutipes KACC42780
Lineage: Eukaryota; Fungi; Basidiomycota; Agaricomycetes; Agaricales; Physalacriaceae
Description: tRNA-Und (NNN) (tRNA-Und-NNN-1-1)
Rfam family: tRNA
About the family: Transfer RNA (tRNA) molecules are approximately 80 nucleotides in length. Their secondary structure includes four short double-helical elements and three loops (D, anti-codon, and T loops).
Source: RNAcentral